Chenopodium quinoa (quinoa) is the source of this 1085-nucleotide long non-coding RNA. RefSeq lists it as uncharacterized. The transcript has 3 exons. NCBI's taxonomy places the organism in Eukaryota, Viridiplantae, Streptophyta, Magnoliopsida, Caryophyllales, Amaranthaceae. The record is from RefSeq and is a predicted model, not a curated record.
UUGCCCUAUACAGAUAUAUGGGCAACAAAACAGUGGAUGUGUUGCCCUUUAUUAUUUUUUUGGGCCACAAAAUAUAACUUGGUUGCCUAUUUCCAUAGUUAGGUGACAAAUAACUUAAUUCGUUGUCUAUUUUUAUUAAAAAAAGCGGAGUGGUAUUUUAUUUGGUUGCCCAAAUUCCACUAAAAAUUUGGUGGAAAAAACACCGCUUUCAUUGAAAUUCCCAAAAAAAAAUUCAUAAGACUAGUGAUGCAAAAAUUUCAAUACAGCUUCCCCUAAAAAAUAAAAAAAAAAGAGUACUGCUUAAAGAACUAACCCUUUACCCACGAUCAAACAAUUUUCCCUUCUCAUCCGUUAAAAAAAACCCAUCAAUUUCUCUUCUCUUUUCUCUGACCAAACCGAAAGCUGCCAUUGAAGAGGUUGUUCUUCCAUUAUUUUUGCAUUUCUUUGUAAAAUUCAGUAUUUCUUUAGCUAAUUCAUUCGUUAAUUCCGCCAUUGACGGCGGUGGCCGGCGGUGAGGCAGCGGUGACAGCGAAUUUAAGGUCGACGCAUUGACGGCGGUGAGGUAGUAGGAAAAUGUCAAUCAUACCAACAUCAUCGGAGCAAAAUCAACAAGAAAGUGAGAUUCAACAACCACCACCAAGGUUGAAUUAUCGUGAGCAGCGAAGGAUUGACCAAGCUGAGCUUCGAAAAAAAAAUUCUGAUCGUAAGAGGCGUGGUCCUACCAGGGGGCUUAAAAUAUGUUUCUAAAAGGGCAAAAAAUCCAGAUGAAAAAAUUACAAUAACUUUCAUGGAUGAGCUUCCACGUGUGGUUGGUGAAAAGGCAAAUGAGUUCAUAUGCGAUUGUAGCAAUUCAGUCGAAGAGUUUUGUCCUUUAGAUGCAUUAAAUUGGGCUAAAAUGGAUUCUUCUGCAAAGCAAAGUUUGUAUGACAAGAUUUUGGUGAGUUUGAGUUUUAUAAAACAUAUUUGUUGAAGUUUUAAAUUAUUAGAUCACUUUACUAACUAAAGUUUUUGUGUGUUGGGAUUAGGGGAUUUUUCCCCACCAAUCACCAUCUGACAAGUGGACCAAUCAGGUUCCGCCAUGUGUC